CAGACAGCAGCCCCAAAACAACCCGACUCUCCAGGAUUACUGCAGAGAAAGCCAGGGAAGCCAAAGCUACGGUCCAGGGCUGGGGGGAACCAGUGCUGGGCUAUUUUGAUGCUUACUAUGAAGACCACAUCCAACCAGUGACCGGCAGCUAUGCUGAAUGGGCCUCUAAUGUCAAAAGCUCUGUGUGGGAGAAGAUCCAGACAACCAUUGACAACUACAGGCCACUGAAAGGGACUAAUUCAACUGAUCAACCCUCUCAAAGCUAAAGCAGAGCUGAAAAUAAAUAAAUAUUCUUACCACAUGA
Molecule: long non-coding RNA, 304 nt
Organism: Epinephelus moara (kelp grouper)
Lineage: Eukaryota; Metazoa; Chordata; Actinopteri; Perciformes; Serranidae
Exons: 2
Source: RefSeq, a predicted model, not a curated record